CAGCCGUAAACUAUGCUCGCUAGGUGUCAGGCAUGGCGCGACCGUGUCUGGUGCCGCAGGGAAGCCGUGAAGCGAGCCACCUGGGAAGUACGGCCGCAAGGCUGAAACUUAAAGGAAUUGGCGGGGGAGCACCACAACAGGUGGAGCCUGCGGUUUAAUUGGAUUCAACGCCGGAGAUCUCACCAGGGGGCGACAGCAGUAUGAUGGCCAGGUUGAUGGCCUUGCUUGACAAGCUGAGAGGAGGUGCAUGGCGUAGACGUGU
This 262-nucleotide ribosomal RNA is filed under the name uncultured archaeon. RNAcentral's name for it is "partial 16S ribosomal RNA". It matches the Rfam family "Archaeal small subunit ribosomal RNA", at positions 748 to 1009 of the family's 1478-position model. The record is from RNAcentral.